This 4409-nucleotide long non-coding RNA is filed under the name Podarcis lilfordi (Lilford's wall lizard). Lineage: Eukaryota; Metazoa; Chordata; Lepidosauria; Squamata; Lacertidae. The record is from RNAcentral.
GUGAUAGCUAGGCUGCAAUCCUGUGCUAGUUUCCUUCACAUUGGUCCUAUUGAGAUCCAUGUCUAGGACUGCACUAUUAGAAAAUAAGGAUAUAUAUUCCACUCUUCCUUCUCCCAGUACAAAAAGAUCAAAAGAAAAUCAAAAUCAACAAUCACAUGGUCACAUAAUGGCUCAUACACUUAAGGCCAGGUAUUGCCAAUUUGAAACUUUUGGGUACCAGUGACACCAUUACCUCCUAUGGUGCCUAAGAAAGGUCCUAGUUUAAAAAUAAAAUAAAAAUAAAAAUCCUACAAAAAUUCACAAGAUACUAUUUGUUUGUCCUGCUUGGUCCACGUUUGACUGGCUUGGCAUCUCCUACAUUGAACAUGCUUCCUUAAACAUAUCCACAUUUCACUGGAUUCCAACAUUUGAUACCCAUCCUUACUUCUUCUCUAAGUGCAGAGGGAGUUGACACAAGUGUUGCCCCUCCUCCUUCAUUGAAGUUGUAUGCGUGUCAUCUAGGCAUUUUGUGGUCCUUUUUUGUUUUUUACAUGAACCAUUCUGUGUUAUGCCACACUCUACAGCAGCUGAUUUAUGAAAAACAUCCACAGAACUUUCUUAAAAUUCCAGAUGUCCUCAAUGCUCCCCAAAUGCUGGCACCUCCCACAUAAAGCUGUGAGGGCUAUAAAUCAGGAUGGCCUCCUUCUGCAUCUGAAAAUAUUGCCUUUGGGAAGAAGCAGGCAGUAUAUUGCCUAGCCAGAGUAAGCUAAGCUGCUUAGACUAACAUUGGGUCCAGACGUUAACAGCUGGCCCCUGCCUUAGCCAGAGUUUCUGCAUUUUAUUUAAGUAAUGCUACUAUUACUUCUGCUGCUGCUGUUGUUGCUGCUGCUGCUCCUCCUCCUACUAAUAAUAAUAAUGUGUCCUGGCCCUGUGUCUUACCUUUUUUUCUUUGUGUGCAAAUAGUUAUUAUUUUAGAAUUACCCAUUUCGGUUAGGGCCAUAGGAUGCUUGCUCCAUGGACUUCCAAAAAUAUGAAAGGUAAUAUAUAGAGAACAGUAAAGCAGAGUGUUCUCCAAAAGGCAUGAAACUUGGUAGAAAGUGUAUGUGUCAGAUUUGCUGUGUAUUAAUUUAACUAAUAAAACUACAAUGGACAAUGGCAUUCCAUUUCAGCACAUUUAAGAGGAAGGAUGGGAACAUGUAACAAACUGCCCAACAAAACAGAGUGUGCUUAGCACUACAUUGUUCUGGAGUUUUGGCAUCCCUUGGUAGUUCCUAUUGUGCUUUGAACAACCUCUCCUUAAAAUGUCACAAAUGCAUACAGGUGGGUGGAGAUCUUUGUGGCUCAUGUUUUUCAUUUAACACAGUUCUAUUUUUAUUUUGCAAGAGGUCACACAAGAGGUUGAGGGAAGAGAUCAGCUCUGGGGAGCUUGUGCUCACUUCUGUCUAAACAGUUUGCUUUAAUACUGGAUGGACCUGACAUAAAUGAAAGAAGUGAUAAUCAGGGUAAUAUGCCUGGCUCUUGCUUAAAGUUGGAAGAUUGGGUUUUAUUAUCAUCAAAACAAAACACAAUAGUGGCAGUCAUGUUUGCAUUCCCAGGGUGAAUGGAAUGAAUGGAAUUCCAAUAAUGUAGAUCAUUGUUAUUCUGUUCUACUUACUAUUUCUAAAACUGAAUUCACAAUUGGUGGGUGUACAGUCUCUUCCCCAUUCUUAACAGGUUGCCAAUGUGCACCAGAACAUGCAAACAUUUAUUAAAUCAAGGCAUGAAUAAAUUUUGAUGCGAUCACAUGACUGCAUCAGGAUUGCUUCUCAUGCUGUGAUGAAAUUGAUGUGCAUAUGUUGUGGCGUGCUUCAGUAACUAAUAAGAGGGUGGGGUGAGGGAAAGCACAUGAACUGAUGAAUACACAAAACUGAACAUCAGCUGCAGUAUGAACAAUGUAUAAAACAAUAGUACAGUGGUACCUUGGUUUAUGAACUUAAUCCGUUCCGGAAGUCAGUUCUUAAACCGAAGCAUUCUUAAACCAAGGCACGCUUUCCCAUAGAAAGUAAUGCAAAAUGGAUUAAUCCGUUCCAGACUUUUAAAAACAACCCCUAAAUCAGUAAUUUAACAUGAAUUUUACUAUCUAACAAGACCACUGAUCCACAAAAUGGAAGCAAUAAUCAAUGCACUGUGCUAUAAAAUAAAUAAAACAGUGUUGUAGAUUAUUAAAAUUUAAAAAAAAAUUCUUACCUGCACUGAUGAUAGUCAUCAUUUGGAUGUAGGGCUUUUAUCCAUUUCUGGUCACACAUUCAAGCAAGCAAGCAAGCAAGCAAGCAAGCAAGCAGUAGCUAAACUGGGAUCCACACAGAUCCCCCCACCACGCUGCUGCAGGAAAUGCUCCCUAGAGCGUGUACCUCCCACAGCGGCAUGGGGGAGAGUUGCAAGCCCGCCAACCAUGUGGCUGGUGGGUGCACAGCUCCCGUCUCUCGUGGCUGCAGGAAACGCUCUCCUCCCACAGCGGCAUGGGAGUAGGUGUUGUGCACCUGCAAACCAGCUGGUUGGUGGGCGCGCAGCUUCCCUUCCUUGUGGCUGCAGGAAACACUGUGACAGCCUCCUUUUCCACUGCUGCACAAUGGAAGUGUGGCACUAAAAACAGAAGUGUACCCCGAACGGAGUGCAUUCGUAUACCAAUAAAAAUCCGCAACUCAUUUCUGGGUCUGAAGUGUUCAUAAUCCAAAAAGCUCGUUAACUAGGCUGUCCGUAACCCAAAUUACCACUCUACCGCUUUUGUAAGGCAACACCAAUGGCUAAAAGAACAUACUGGGUGGUCCAUAAGAACUGUGAUGAAGGGAGCAGGUCCAAUAAGUGUGUCUCACACUCACAUGACUGGAAUUACAUAAGGGAGAACAAGUAAGGAGGAUAUGUUUCCAGGUGUGGAUUGUGUGAUGGGUACACACUUGAGGGUGUUCCUGUGUAGAACUCAAUGAGGGUAUAGCCCAUGCGCCAGUGUCCACUAUAGUUGAGUUGUACAAAUUGGCAUGUGCACACUCACUCACUCACUCACUCACACACACACACACACACACACACAAAAAGCCAUACAUGUGUAGAAAUACUAUGUACCUAUGCUCAGUGUAACAGCCCCCUUGUGUUUUGCGCAAGUUGGAACAUAGGAAGCUUACUUCUGUUGAGUGGAACCAUUGGCCUAUUUGUCAGCUACAGUCACAAGCAGCAGCUCUUUGGGGAUUUACACAGGUGUCUUUCCCAGAUGUGCCUUGGUAUGAACAUGGGACUUUUCCAACGUACUUGCCAUUGAACAACAACUCUUGCUUGCAGUGUGGAAGAGCUAGUUGGAAAUAUGACACGGUCAGGAAUGUUGCUUUACAGGUUACACGGGUUCAGUAUCUCAUUCCCUUGUGCAUGAAUUCUGUUACGAUUUAGAUAUAAUGCAUUUCAGGGUGAUAAUUCAGAGAUUCCUUCAGUAAGUUACAUUCUCUUGGGGAAUUUUCUUUUUUUUUAAAAUAAAAUAAAAUGCUGCUGCCAAGUAUCUCCAACAAAAUGUAGCCUCCUCCGCUGACUUGUUACAUUCUUCAUUGGGCUUCAGUAACAUUAAGGAAAAGAUAACAAGAUAAUUGAGUUGCAAAGUCAAUACUAAACUAAUCCAUAAACUGUAGAUAUUUUCCCCUCUAGCAUCUUCUUUCCAGGAAGCAAAAUGUUCAAGUUAAUUUAACCAUCCUAAUUUAACUUAGAGGCUGAUAAUCUGAUUGCUUGUCUUUUACAAUAAGGGUGGAGGAGAGAAGUAAAGAUAGAAAACUCUAAUGUAGCAUCUCAGAAUUCAUGACAUAUUGGAGUCAUUUAGUAGGGUUUCCUUUUAUAUAAUUUCAAGAGUAUGCUAACUUGGAUACAGGGAAAGUGUUCUUCGAUUAUGGUGACAUAAAUGUCAUAUUUAUGGGAGUGAAUUGACUUGAUGUAUUCGGAAGCAUGCAUUGAUUUUUAUUUUUUUAAGCCCUUCACCAACCUGGUGCCCUGCAGAUGCUUUAUAACUCCCAUCAGUUCCAUCAAGCAUGGCCAAUGUUCAGGGAUGGUGGGAAUCAGUAGUGCCACCUUGAAUAAAAUAUUGUGUGGGACUGCCCCCCACUCCACAUGGAAGGUCUUAUGAUCCCAUAAUCUUAUACUUUUUUAUCCGCCCCUUCAUCAAAAUUCUGUCCAUGAUUACCCAAACCACCAGCUCCUUGUUUGAAGCUGAGGUUUGCAAUAGUUUCUUCUUGUUCCAUUUCUAUAGGUGAAUUCAGUGAAAGGGGUUUUGUUUUUUGGUUUUUUUUGGAAGCUGUACUUUAUCCAACUGAAAGAGCAUUUGUUGACCCCACCUCCCUUUUCAUUUUUCUUCUGGGCUCCUGAUUUGUAAGAAAACGUUCUGGAGAUAUCAUUUAUAAAUUAAUAUUUUUUUAUAUCUG